Molecule: long non-coding RNA, 1052 nt
Organism: Topomyia yanbarensis
Lineage: Eukaryota; Metazoa; Arthropoda; Insecta; Diptera; Culicidae
Exons: 3
Source: RefSeq, a predicted model, not a curated record
ACGCAACGCAACGCAACGCAACGCCAAGAUGAUUAAGCUGUGAAAUUCCAAUGAUCGAUCCUUCAGACGGUGGAUCACUCGUCACAUAUCUACCGUUGUUGUUGUCGGCAACGCUUGAGUUCGCUCAUCAAUUAGUGCUUCGAUUAGCACCUGUGACAUCUAUCCAUCGGUCAUCAACACUAUAAAGUUACACGAUGUUGACAGACGGCACGCAGUCUUGGACUUGAAGUGAAAGCAUCUAAAAGCUGAAUCGUGGUGGUGUUCUGCUGUAUCCGCAAAAAUGUUCAAAUUGAUAUUCGUCGUGUGGUUUGCGUCUGUGCUGUGUGCGACGACGCUAGCCGACCCACAUCAUCCUCACAAAGGCGCCAUCAUUGUUGGAGGAGCACCCGUUAUCGUGCAGCCAGUGAUUAGACGUGCUCCCAUCUUGGUACGACAACCGGUGAUUGUGGAACGACCUGUAGUGGUUCGACAGUUCUUAGCUCCGCCCGCUGUUCUGAUAGGCUAGUGAUUACUAUUUGGGUUGAAUAAAAAAGUGCGGUAAAGAAAGUUUUCCGUUGGAGUUUUCCUGCUGCUUUAUGGGAUUUUUUUUACUAUAACCAGCCAAUUUCAGUUAUGUUACACUACCCGUCAAAAGUUUUGAAUCGCUGUACUAAGUAUUGCAACAACCAUACUGAAUAUUGCAACACCUCGAAAAGUUUAGCAUCACUUUAAAAGAGUAAAUUCAGGAUGUUAUAUGUCGAGAUUCUGCUUAUCUGCAUAGAGGCCCAACUCACAAAAGUUUUUCUGAAGGUCUCUGACAGUGUACAUGUGGAAUAAUGAACUAUUGAAAUUGUUACAAGUGUUUUAAAAAUCACUCCUAUCGGGGACUAUGUGAAUCUUUCGGAGCAGCAGGGAGAGCUAGUCAAUUUGUCCUGGUAAGCUCAAUGACCCGAUCAAAAUCUCAUCGAAUUUCUUUGAUAUGUUUGGGAUAAUGAAGUGAGAAAAAUGCGACCACAUAACCAUAAGCAUUUUUAGUUGUGUUUGAUAAAAAGCCCGAGCAACAUAAAUGAGGA